Lepidothrix coronata (blue-crowned manakin) is the source of this 203-nucleotide long non-coding RNA. RefSeq lists it as uncharacterized. The transcript has 3 exons. NCBI's taxonomy places the organism in Eukaryota, Metazoa, Chordata, Aves, Passeriformes, Pipridae. The record is from RefSeq and is a predicted model, not a curated record.
UUAGGUCCUGGCAGGUCCCAAACCCUUUCUUUAGGUCCUGGCAGGUCCCAAACCCUUUCUUUAGGUCCUGGCAGGUCCCAAACCCUCUCCUGUCCCUCCCCAGGUCCUGGAAGACAACGACUAUGGACUGGUGGGGCCUGGGGGUGGUGAUGGACGAGGGGCAGGUCCUGGCAGGUCCCAAACCCUUUCCUUAGGUCCUGGCA